GAUGAACGCUGGCGGCGUGCCUAAUACAUGCAAGUCGAGCGUACAGAUGAGGAGCUUGCUCCUCUGACGUUAGCGGCGGACGGGUGAGUAACACGUGGAUAACCUACCUAUAAGACUGGGAUAACUUCGGGAAACCGGAGCUAAUACCGGAUAAUAUAUUGAACCGCAUGGUUCAAUAGUGAAAGACGGUUUUGCUGUCACUUAUAGAUGGAUCCGCGCCGCAUUAGCUAGUUGGUAAGGUAACGGCUUACCAAGGCGACGAUGCGUAGCCGACCUGAGAGGGUGAUCGGCUACACUGGAACUGAGACACGGUCCAGACUCCUACGGGAGGCAGCAGUAGGGAAUCUUCCGCAAUGGGCGAAAGCCUGACGGAGCAACGCCGCGUGAGUGAUGAAGGUCUUCGGAUCGUAAAACUCUGUUAUUAGGGAAGAACAAAUGUGUAAGUAACUAUGCACGUCUUGACGGUACCUAAUCAGAAAGCCACGGCUAACUACGUG
This 497-nucleotide ribosomal RNA is filed under the name uncultured bacterium. RNAcentral describes it as "partial 16S ribosomal RNA". It matches the Rfam family "Bacterial small subunit ribosomal RNA", at positions 28 to 507 of the family's 1533-position model. The record is from RNAcentral.